This 76-nucleotide transfer RNA is filed under the name Janthinobacterium lividum. RNAcentral describes it as "tRNA-Ala". It matches the Rfam family "tRNA". Rfam says of the family: Transfer RNA (tRNA) molecules are approximately 80 nucleotides in length. RNAcentral also lists the same sequence under 14 other names. Lineage: Bacteria; Pseudomonadati; Pseudomonadota; Betaproteobacteria; Burkholderiales; Oxalobacteraceae. The record is from RNAcentral.
GGGGCUGUAGCUCAGUUGGGAGAGCGCCUCGUUCGCAAUGAGGAGGUCAGCGGUUCGAUCCCGCUCAGCUCCACCA